This 253-nucleotide ribosomal RNA is filed under the name uncultured bacterium. RNAcentral describes it as "partial 16S ribosomal RNA". It matches the Rfam family "Bacterial small subunit ribosomal RNA", at positions 524 to 776 of the family's 1533-position model. The record is from RNAcentral.
UACAGAGGUCUCAAGCGUUGUUCGGAUUCAUUGGGCGUAAAGGGUGUGUAGGUGGCGCCGUAAGUCGGGUGUGAAAUUUCGGAGCUUAACUCCGAAACUGCAUUCGAUACUGCGGUGCUUGAGGACUGGAGAGGAGACUGGAAUUCAUGGUGUAGCAGUGAAAUGCGUAGAUAUCUGGAGGAAUACCGGUGGCGAAGGCGGCAUCCUGGACCGACAUUGACGCUGAGGAGCGAAAGCCAGGGGAGCAAACGGG